Molecule: ribosomal RNA, 490 nt
Filed under: uncultured bacterium
Lineage: Bacteria
Description: partial 16S ribosomal RNA
Rfam family: Bacterial small subunit ribosomal RNA
Source: RNAcentral
AUUGAACGCUGGCGGCAGGCCUAACACAUGCAAGUCGAACGGUAACAGGAAACAGCUUGCUGUUUCGCUGACGAGUGGCGGACGGGUGAGUAAUGUCUGGGAAACUGCCUGAUGGAGGGGGAUAACUACUGGAAACGGUAGCUAAUACCGCAUAACGUCGCAAGACCAAAGAGGGGGACCCUCGGGCCUCUUGCCAUCGGAUAUGCCCAGAUGGGAUUAGCUUGUUGGUGGGGUAACGGCUCACCAAGGCGACGAUCCCUAGCUGGUCUGAGAGGAUGACCAGCCACACUGGAACUGAGACACGGUCCAGACUCCUACGGGAGGCAGCAGUGGGGAAUAUUGCACAAUGGGCGCAAGCCUGAUGCAGCCAUGCCGCGUGUAUGAAGAAGGCCUUCGGGUUGUAAAGUACUUUCAGCGGGGAGGAAGGGAGUAAAGUUAAUACCUUUGCUCAUUGACGUUACCCGCAGAAGAAGCACCGGCUAACUCCGUG